AUUGAACGCUGGCGGCAGGCCUAACACAUGCAAGUCGAGCGGAUGAGGGGAGCUUGCUCCCUGAUUUAGCGGCGGACGGGUGAGUAAUGCCUAGGAAUCUGCCUGGUAGUGGGGGAUAACGUUCCGAAAGGAACGCUAAUACCACAUACGUCCUACGGGAGAAAGCAGGGGACCUUCGGGCCUUGCGCUAUCAGAUGAGCCUAGGUCGGAUUAGCUAGUUGGUGAGGUAAUGGCUCACCAAGGCGACGAUCCGUAACUGGUCUGAGAGGAUGAUCAGUCACACUGGAACUGAGACACGGUCCAGACUCCUACGGGAGGCAGCAGUGGGGAAUAUUGGACAAUGGGCGAAAGCCUGAUCCAGCCAUGCCGCGUGUGUGAAGAAGGUCUUCGGAUUGUAAAGCACUUUAAGUUGGGAGGAAGGGCUGCUGGUUAAUACCCUGCAGUUUUGACGUUACCAACAGAAUAAGCACCGGCUAACUUCGUG
RNAcentral lists this ribosomal RNA (484 nucleotides) under uncultured bacterium. Its description in RNAcentral is "partial 16S ribosomal RNA". It matches the Rfam family "Bacterial small subunit ribosomal RNA", at positions 30 to 507 of the family's 1533-position model. The record is from RNAcentral.